GGAAGAGUGGGAAACGACUGGUGUGUGGGGGGAGUAGGUGGAGGGUCUGGAGAAGCCCCUGGGUGUGAGUCAUAACAAUGCCACUGAAUACAAAUUGGAAACUGAGGCCCGGAAAGUGAAGGAAGAAGAGAUGGCCACACCUCGGCCAGCACCACCAAGCCCAUCUGGUCCUUGCCCACAAAGCAACCCAGCUCCAAGCUCUGGCCCUCCCGGGGAACUCUGAUUUCCUUCCUCUCACCUGCAACUGGAAGUUCUCCUGGGUCUUCCCUGGGCUUGGGCCUUUACGGAUCCAAGCUGGAAAGGCUGCCAGGCUUUGUCACAGCCUCAGGCCCAGGCCCAGGAGCAGCUGCCAGGGCCAGCUGCGGCUGGCUUCAAGGACUUGAAUCUACACCCUGGGGAGAAGAAUCCUAGUUUCUUACUUGACUGCACUCAAGGUCCUGUAUGGUACUAUUUCACAGGAAGCCUCUGGAGCCAAAAAGUACCAUCCUAAUGUCAUCAGUCACCUGUCCAUGCAGACAGCGUUGGCUGAGGAAGACUUGUCCAAUCCUUGGUUUGAGAACUACGAGCCACAAAGCCAAAGUGAAGUGACUGAUUGGGCUCUGAGAGAAUGGGGCCAGAAAGAAAAGAUGCUUCAUCUCAGAGAACAGGAGAGAGAAAGCCCAACUUCAAAAGGGGAGGGGAAGCCAGGCAUGGUGGCACACUCCUUUAAUCCCAGCACUUGAGAGGCAGAGGUAGGAGGAUCGCCGUGAGUUCAAGGCCACCCUGAGACUACAUAGUUAAUUCCAGGUCAAUCUGGGCUAAACCCUAGUCCAAAGAAACAAAAUUUAAAAGGGGGGAAGGGAGAAAGACCCCUAGAAUUGUGGCUCCCCAUCUGACUUCCCUUGGCUGAGUCCUCCAAAGCCUAUAUACAUCCCUCACUAGUAGCAUGAGGUGCCCAGAGGUCUAUGUGGGUGGAAAUUCCAUUGUCACAGCCUCCUUUCAGCCUUUCUAAGGUGUCACUUGGGAUCCCGGAAUGCUAUCUCCUAAUCUAUUCCACAGACAAGUUAUUAUAAUGAGUUUGUGGUGACUGGAUUUGACAAUCAGAGCUGUGAGAGGUGUGUGAAGAGCAUAGCUCACUCCCUCUAAGCCCUUACAUGCAGGGGAGAGCUAGGCACGUGUGUGUAGUAGUGACCAAAGGCAGCACUGUAGACAGCUAGGAGGAAAGGGCUGUGGGAGCCAGGGGCUAGGCGGCUGUGAGAUCUUCCUGAAUGGGGCGCGGGAGCAGACUGAAUGGUGCCUCCUGGAAGAUGGCAGCUUGAAGUGGGCCUUAGGUCAGGUUAAGAUUCCCUGAGGUGAAGCCAAGGCAUUGGCUGAGGCCUAGAGGGGGAGGAUCAGGGCAGAGAGCUGCCAGCAUGGGAGUGUGCCAUUGCAGCUGACUGGAAUCAAGGGCUGUCCCUAUGAGGAGCAGCAGAAAGGCGACUUGUACUUGCAUGUUUGUAGUUCGCCUUGUUCUGAGGUGAGGAGGAAGGCUCAGGGCUUUGAGCUGGGAAAUGACAUGAUUAGAUUUUUUUUUAAAGUAGUUUCUAGGGCUGGAGAGAUGGCUCAGUGGUUGAAGGUACUUGCUUGAGUGGCUUCUAACAGAAGCACAUGGGAAGUUCAGGGAAAUGGUGGAGGGGAGAAAGGAGUUAAUCCUGACUUUAUAUUCCUAUCCACAUCACUCUGGUGGCUCACCUCUGGUGAUCCACACUGAGAAAACCGGGGUCCUCAUAAAAAUGAACUCAAAAAGCUAUCAAAACAGAAGCUGUAGUUGAAAAGUGAAGGAUUUUAAUGGAAUGGAGAGCGGGGAGGGAGGACUAAAGUAAUGGAGAGGAUUGUGGCCAAAUUACAAUAUGUGCACCUAUGAAAGUUUUUUUAAUAAAACCAAACAAACACAGGGCUGGAGAGAUGGCUUAGCAGUUAAGGUGCUUGCCUAUAAAGCCUGAGGACUCAGGUUU
Molecule: long non-coding RNA, 1973 nt
Organism: Jaculus jaculus (lesser Egyptian jerboa)
Lineage: Eukaryota; Metazoa; Chordata; Mammalia; Rodentia; Dipodidae
Exons: 3
Source: RefSeq, a predicted model, not a curated record